UGGGGAAUAUUGGACAAUGGGCGAAAGCCUGAUCCAGCCAUGCCGCGUGUGUGAAGAAGGUCUUCGGAUUGUAAAGCACUUUAAGUUGGGAGGAAGGGCAGUAAGCGAAUACCUUGCUGUUUUGACGUUACCGACAGAAUAAGCACCGGCUAACUCUGUGCCAGCAGCCGCGGUAAUACAGAGGGUGCAAGCGUUAAUCGGAAUUACUGGGCGUAAAGCGCGCGUGGGUGGUUCGUUAAGUUGAAUGUGAAAGCCCCGGGCUCAACCUGGGAACUGCAUCCAAAACUGGCGAGCUAGAGUAGGGCAGAGGGUGGUGGAAUUUCCUGUGUAGCGGUGAAAUGCGUAGAUAUAGGAAGGAACACCAGUGGCGAAGGCGACCACCUGGGCUCAUACUGACACUGAGGUGCGAAAGCGUGGGGAGCAAACAGG
This 429-nucleotide ribosomal RNA is filed under the name Pseudomonadota bacterium. Its description in RNAcentral is "Proteobacteria bacterium partial 16S ribosomal RNA". It matches the Rfam family "Bacterial small subunit ribosomal RNA", at positions 355 to 776 of the family's 1533-position model. Lineage: Bacteria; Pseudomonadati; Pseudomonadota. The record is from RNAcentral.